GCCGGGCACUGUGUUGCAUGCCUGUAAUCCCAGCAGCUUGGGAGGCUGAGGCAGGAGGAUCAUGAGUUUAAAGCCAGCCUCAGCAAAAGUGAAGUACUGAGCAACUCAGUGACACCCUGUCUCUA
Molecule: small RNA, 125 nt
Filed under: Marmota monax (woodchuck)
Lineage: Eukaryota; Metazoa; Chordata; Mammalia; Rodentia; Sciuridae
Source: RNAcentral